GUUUUUGGCUUUUUAAAAAAAUCUAUGGCUAUAGGCAAAAAAUCCUGACAAUAUCUGACAUUGCUGGGCAACUUAUGUUGGUUCCUCAAUACUUUCUUUAUUUUGUCUUUCUAGUUUUCCAAGCCUAGGGUUGGCAUGAAUGGUUUCAGAAUUCCACAGUAAGCAUGGGCCACAGAAUUCCACAGUAUGUCGAGAAUGGGUCAAGUUUGGUUUGCUUGUUGAUUUCUAGGGUCCCAGUAAUAUAUAUUAGCUCAUUUAAUUUUUAAUAUAUACAUAUAUAUAUAUAUAUGUAUAGUACAAGUCCCUUACAUUUAGCAAAGACUUAAUAAAUAAGAUACUAUGUUAUUUUUAACAAUCAUUAUUUGGUACGACUUUCUUAUUUCAUAUGUGAGGAAAUUAAGCCCCAGGGCAGGCAAUUAAUACAUUCUAGACCUAAUUAACUCAAAGCAGUGACAACCCAGGGACCAAAUCCCUGAACUGUGGCCCCACAAUCACUGUUCCUUACAUAAUGUCUUGUUGAGUAAUACAUGUGGGGGCUCUUUUUUUUCUGUUGGUGCAGGGAGAAGAGGAGAGGAGCUAGGGUGGGAGGCACAAGAGACACACCUUCAACCACCAGUAGCUUUUCUUCUACUAAAUUACUGCUGAAAUAAAGUAUGUCUUGGCAAUUUAGAACCCCGUGAUUUCACAAGGGAUAGAACAGGUAUGCAAAGGAGCGAGAGAUGCAUGCUUGACAGGUUAAAAACAAAUUUAUGAGCACAAAUUGGAAGUUUUACCAGGAAGCAUAAUAGUGUGUUCCAGACGUAUAAGAUACAGCAGCAUUAAUUUUCAAAUGAAGACUCAGUUGGGGAUUAGCAACAUGGGUAGCAUAGAAGCUUCAUAAUUCUUUAGAACACAGUGAUGUGCUAGGAACGCCUCUAAGGAACACAGCACCAAAUCCUAGCCCACAGACACCAGGCUAGGAUUGAUCACACUAAUGAAGUGAUAGAAAUUACUUACUCAUUCCUUCCUACCUUAAUGCAAACAUUCAAAACAUUGCCGAGUUUCCUUGUUUCUCAAGAACACUUACAGGUGUUGACACAGGAGAGUGAUUAAAUGUACUUUUGGCUUGAGGUAAGCAGACUCUGGCAAGAAGCAAGGUAGAAGUACACCAAGGCUGCUAUGGGAACAUUGAAGAGGUUGUGAAGGGAAAAAUAAGAAUGGAGGAGACUUCCCUGGGAAAGGUCCAGGCAAACGGCAGUACCUCUCCUCCCAACUACAACUCCGUCUUCUAAAUCCUUCCAAAUUAUCAGAGAUAUCAACUUAUUAAUGUCUAGCUUUUUAUUAACCCAAGUAUUAGUAAUGAAAUAAGAGUGUAAUAUUGCAAUUUUACUCUACUGCAGCAGGCUGGCUGGAGUAUAUGUGGAAUGGAGAAAAAUUUAAAUAAUGUUUCCCUUGGUGACUGGAGUAUAUAAUAGGAAAACUGGGCUAAAUUUAAAAGGUGAUAUUAUAUACAGAUUCCGUGGAAAAUGUCACCUUACAAAAAGAUUGCAUUAGUGUACUAUACCAAUUAGGUCUUAUUUAUAUAGUAAGUUGGGCUAAGCUCAGCACAGAUGUAGCUUAAAAAAUGAUUUGGAACUUAUGCCUGGAGAAGAAUUAUAAAACAGGACUGUUUAUUUCUGAACCCAGGAGGCAUUCAGAUACAAUUAGACAUGUUAAUAAAAUAACCCAAUCUGAGUCCAUUCUUUCUACAGUCUUUACAAAGUUGAUCACUUCCCUCUCAGCUGUGAUUGAUGUCUAAGUCUGACUUACUUUGCCUUGAUGGUGCUACCAAACUCGAGUGAUAUUCCACUGAUGUCCAGAUCUCAAAGUGAUAGAACCCUGGUUUUGCAAGAAAGAAGCUGCUUGUUUGGUAGGCAGGUGGCUCCCUGUGCUGCAGUUGGAGCGCGUCAAUCAUCGCUGACAACCUGCAGUACCCAGUCCUGAGUGUCUCCUCCAGCUAUCGCCGUCUGAGACUUUUAAAAGGGAUGUGUAGUCCUCUUAGGUCUCGUUUCAAGCAUUCCACACGAAAGUGGAAAAGAUAUCUGCACUGACAUGAAGAGCUCCAUUCAGCUGGAACUUUUUGUUUUCCUACAACAAGUAAUCCUUUCUUUCUAUUUUGUAAUGCUCGGGCUCAUCUACAAAUUCUUGGACUCUUUCUUAGACAUGCAGAGUCCAGCAAAACUGCUCCCCACUCCCAACCCCACCAAAAUUAACAUCAAUCAGCAAGUGUAUGCUAUUUUUAAUAUCGAAGACAGGUUGUUGGAAUGAAUGGACUUUCUGAGUGGCAACAUAGAGACAGUGGGCUGGGACCAAGAAGAGCCAAUCAUUAAUCACUCCCCUUUGUUUUUAAAUGGACUUACUAGGCUUUAAAAAAAAUUGUAUUAUUUCAACAAAACAACCUACAAAUAAAUACAAAACAAAAGGGCACGUGUAGGGACAUAUUGAAAGGAAGCAUGCAUACCAAAAAGAUAAGUGCAAAUUGGAUUUGAAUAUUCAUGAGUCACAAAUCAUUGACAGUUUGAAAUAAU
This 2546-nucleotide small RNA is filed under the name Rattus norvegicus (Norway rat). Its description in RNAcentral is "uncharacterized LOC102555456". The record is from RNAcentral. Lineage: Eukaryota; Metazoa; Chordata; Mammalia; Rodentia; Muridae.